Molecule: ribosomal RNA, 466 nt
Filed under: uncultured bacterium
Lineage: Bacteria
Description: bacterial SSU rRNA
Rfam family: Bacterial small subunit ribosomal RNA
Source: RNAcentral
GACGAACGCUGGCGGCGUGCUUAACACAUGCAAGUCGAGCGAGGCCCUUCCUUCGGGAAGGUGCCCUAGCGGCGAACGGGUGAGUAACACGUGGGCAACCUGCCCCUAGCACUGGGAUAACUCCGGGAAACCGGGGCUAAUACCGGAUAUGACCUCGGAGGGCAUCCUCCUUGGUGUAAAGGAUUCUGGCUAGGGAUGGGCCCGCGGCCUAUCAGCUUGUUGGUGGGGUAACGGCCUACCAAGGCGACGACGGGUAGCCGGCCUGAGAGGGCGACCGGCCACACUGGGACUGAGACACGGCCCAGACUCCUACGGGAGGCAGCAGUGGGGAAUAUUGCACAAUGGGCGAAAGCCUGAUGCAGCGACGCCGCGUGAGGGAUGACUGCCUUCGGGUUGUAACCUCUUUCAGCAGGGACGAAGCGAAAGUGACGGUACCUGCAGAAGAAGCACCGGCCAACUACGUGCC